UACAGAGGGGGCAAGCGUUGUUCGGAAUUACUGGGUGUAAAGGGUUCGUAGGCGGUGUAGCAAGUCGGGAGUGAAAUCUCUGGGCUUAACCCAGAGGCUGCUUCCGAAACUGCUGUGCUUGAGUGUGGGAGAGGCGCGUGGAAUUGCAGGUGUAGCGGUGAAAUGCGUAGAUAUCUGCAGGAACACCCGUGACGAAAGCGGCGCGCUGGGCCACUACUGACGCUGAGGAACGAAAGCUAGGGGAGCAAACAGG
Molecule: ribosomal RNA, 253 nt
Filed under: uncultured bacterium
Lineage: Bacteria
Description: partial 16S ribosomal RNA
Rfam family: Bacterial small subunit ribosomal RNA
Source: RNAcentral